AUUGACACAAAAUUAUUUUCAGUUUGAAUACAUAAAAAACAAAAUAAAAUUCAUUAUAUUAUACAUUUCAUUAUAUUACAUAAUAUGAAGUAGAAAUUUUAAAAUAAAAUUGUAAAACCAGUCAAUUUGACUAAUGUGGUAGUUCUAGUGUUAACUAUUAUCCUACUUUCACUGUAGAUGGCGAAAUGAUUGAACAGUUGUGUCCACCGAACGAUGCCAUAAUACCUGGUCGACCUUUUAAAUUAAGAGCAAGUUGUCGAUAGUUUCGUAAUGGUGGCUAAUGGUGUCGACGACAGGUGUGAUGACGAAGCAGUGACAUGUUUGAGGAGGCUUGCGUUCGAAGGAAAGUGACGAUGGAAUAAUCUUCGUCUGAUUUAUCGCGUCGGUAGGACGUGCAACGAUAAAAACGUUGACUGGGAAUUUGAUCCUCCAGUGGUUCGCUCAAUACGACCGCUUUCUAUAUAUCGCGCGACGAGUCGCAAUCGAAAUCGAAGAUCACGCCGUCCCGUAUAACCGAGAUUAUCUACGAGUGUUCGGGUAGAAUGGCUAAGGAAGCAAUUUAGCUGUCCUUUUGAAAGCCGGAUCGUGGAAAACGAACUUCCAACACGAUUAACGAUAAUUUGUGAUCGACAGUACAGUUGCCGAGAUUUUGCGACGACGUAGCGCCACAUGAUGUAGCACAGAUCACAUAAUCAUAAGAUACGUAAGUGACGAAUUAUGCGAAGAUCUCGAUUGUUUCGACGCACCACCUGUAGGCGCUGUCUGAUCUGCACUUUGCAUCGAAACAGAACAGCGAAACACACGUCGCCGAUGAUCGUAAGCAGUUUAUACGCUAAAGAGUUUAUAACUCGUCGAUUUAAUUAAAUUGAAAAAGAAUUUAACCCUUUGCACUCGAGAAGCAAUUCUCAGUCGCCACAGCGUAACCGUGUGGCAACUCGAGAGGAGAAUGAGAGGCGACAAUCCCUGUUUAUGAGAGCGCAGUAUUGGUUAGUAAAUAGAUUCCUGAGCUCUUUAUAUUGUUUGUUAUGAAGUGUGAAGCGUUACAGUUUAAGACGGAGAUGAAAUAUUUAUGCUCAAAUUCUUCCGAAACUAUGGUUCUGGUAACGUUAGUUCAGAUUCGACGACCGUGGUACAAGUAUUAUAGUUUCGUAAAUUUAGAAGCUCCAAAAAAAUGGAUUUGGAAAUUUGUUUAAUUAAUUUACAUAUUCCGUAAAAGAGCAAAAGAACGAAAAGCCACUUAACCACCUGCGAUUUAUAAAAACUUGUUUUUCAAAAGUGGACCAGUUGAGAGGAGAUAUUCGAUAAACGCGAGAUCGGGCUUCGAUGUCGACUGCUAAUUGGGAUGAAAUUCGGUUAAAUAGAAAGCUGCAUGUAAUUUUAACAGGAAGGAAAAAGGAUUAUAAGGUGUGUUCUUACCAAAACAAAGCAGGAGAAAGACACGAAACAACUUAUUAUUGCGAUACUUGUGCCGACAAGCCAAGAAUGCAUCUUGCCAGAUGUUUUACAAAUUAUCGUAAAAAAAAUACAGAAAAAAUAUUAAAAAAUGAUAUGUUCAAAGAUGUAAAUAUUGUAGUAUCGCGGACAAAUGGCCUAAGCAAUAUC
This is a long non-coding RNA of Bombus pascuorum, 1602 nucleotides long. RefSeq lists it as uncharacterized. The transcript is spliced from 3 exons. NCBI's taxonomy places the organism in Eukaryota, Metazoa, Arthropoda, Insecta, Hymenoptera, Apidae. The record is from RefSeq and is a predicted model, not a curated record.